RNAcentral lists this transfer RNA (72 nucleotides) under Salmo salar (Atlantic salmon). It matches the Rfam family "tRNA". Rfam says of the family: Transfer RNA (tRNA) molecules are approximately 80 nucleotides in length. Their secondary structure includes four short double-helical elements and three loops (D, anti-codon, and T loops). The record is from Rfam by way of RNAcentral. RNAcentral also lists the same sequence under 1 other name. Lineage: Eukaryota; Metazoa; Chordata; Actinopteri; Salmoniformes; Salmonidae.
UCCCCUGUGGCUCAGUUGGUAGAGCAUGGUGUUUGCAACGCCAGGGUUGUGGGUUCGAUUCCCACGAGGGAC